AAUACUUUUAUUUUGAAAGGGCACUUAGCUGCAUUUUGCUUCCUUGACAGGUCUUCAAAGACAUCCUCUCCCGCUGGUCAUGAGCCCGCCCCCUCAUUAGCGUGACAAAGCCGUGUGUUGUGUUAUGUCCAACACACACUAAUUCCAUUUGCAAACACUGAACUAAGCACACAGAUGUCGGAUUGUCCCACUGUUGUAGCAGGCAUUGAACUCAGCACGGUUGCCUGUGUCCCACUUGGACCACUUGCAUAAUUACAGCUUUGUGCACGUACAUGUGCAUGAGUGUUGUGUGCGUCUUGUGGACAAUGGUGUCUUUCACACGCUGCCCUUCAGUGCACCAAACCACAACACACGCACACACACACAGACAGACACAAGUUGUUAUUUUGCAUGUUGAUUGGUUUUGAAGUGUGUGUAUGUGUUGCAGGCUCCAUGUGAUUGAUGACUUGUCAUAUGAGGAUGUGAAGAAGUGUUACAGAGGAUCAACGGUGAACAAGUACAACAGUCAAUACCACAAACUUUUUCAGACGGUCCCUAAAGAUGAGCUCUUAAUGAAAGUGUACUCGUGCGCGCUGCUGCGUGACAUCCUCCUUCAAGGUCGUCUUUACAUCUCCAGAAACUGGUUGUGUUUCUACGCCAACCUUUUUGGAAAGGACAUCAAGGUGGGAGGAGUCAGACUAAGCCACAUGGCCACCACCCGACCUAUUGACAUCUGACCAGUGUGUGUGCAGGUGUGUAUUCCGGUGGUCUCAGUGCGACUGGUAAAAAAACACAAGACAGCAGGCCUGGUGCCAAACGGCCUGGCUAUCACCAUGGAUACGGGACAGAAGGUGACUUGACUUCAAACAGAAGUUUUUCUCUUUUCACAGCAAUUGUUCCCAGGAGCUGAUGUCUCAUAUGAUGGUUGAACUUCAAGUUUUGUUCCACAAUGGGUCUUUUCACUUUGGAGGUUGAUCUGCAAACAUGAGCUUGUAGAAAGACUAAUGUUUAAACAAUGGUGUCAUGUCUCAUGUUUGUUGUUGUUGACUUUGUGUGUCCAGUACGUGUUUGUGUCGUUACUUUCCAGGGACAAUGUGUACGACGUCCUCAGGAGGAUCUGCACUCACCUGCAGGCUAGUGCGCCACCAUCACUCCUCAUCAAGCCACAUGACACAUGCAUGUUCCAACCUCAUGUUUUCAUGUUUAAUUUUUAUGUUUUAUCCUCGUUUCAUCCUCAUUCUCUCAUGUUUCAUCCCCAUGUUUUAAUAUUUCAUUCUGGUGUUCCAUCCACUUUUCAUGUUCCAUCCACAUGUUCUCAUGUUUCAUCCUCACAUUCUAAAAUUUUAUCUUCAUGUCUUAUCCUCACAUUCUCAUAUUCCCUCCUCAUGAUGCAAUAUCUGUCCUCAUGAAUCCUGAUGUUUCAUCAUAUUACAACCUUAAGUUUACAUGUGCCAUCAGGAUGCUAUCAUGUCUCAAAUUUCAUUCUCAUGUUUUGUCCUCAUGGCCUCAUAUUUCAUGGUCUCAUACUUCAUCUUCAUGUUCUGGUGUUUCAUCCCCAUUUAAUUCUACUCAUUCUCAUAUUUCAUUCCAUAUUCUCAUGUUUCCUCCCCAUGUCAUUAUCCUCACAUUCUCAUAUACAAUAUCAUCCUCAUGUUCCAGCUUCACGUUUUAUAUACUGUAUUUCAUCCUCAUGUUUCAUCACCUUCUUCUCAUGUUUCAUCAUCACAUUCUCAUUUUAAAUCCUUAAGUUUUUGUGUUCCAUCCUGAUGUUAUUGUGUCUCAGAUUCCAUUCUCAUGUUCCAUCCUCAUCUUCUCAUUGUCAUACUUAAUCUUCGUGUUUUCAUGUUUUAUCCCCAUUUCAUUAUCCUCACAUUCUCAUAGUUCAUUCUCAUGUUCCAGCCUCACAUUUUAAUACUGCAUUUCAUCCUGUUUCAUCAUCAUGUUCUCAUGUUUCGUAAUCACAUUCUCAAAUAACAGCCUUAAGUUUUCGUGUACCAUCCUGACGUCAUCAUGUCUCAAAUUUCAUUCUCAUUUUCCAACCUCUUGUUCUCAUGUUUCAUUUUUAUGUUUUUGUCCUCAUGCUCUCAUGUUUCAUCUCCAUGUUUUAAUAUUUCAUCCAGUUUUCAUGUUCCACCCUCAUGUUUUCAUGUCUCAUCCUCACAUUCUCAUAUUUCACAUUCAUGUAUUUCAUCCUCACGAUGGGAUAGCUAUCCUCAUGUAUCCUCACACUUUUAGCACUGUAAUUCAUCCUGAUGUCAUCAUCGUGUCCUCUUUUCAACGUCACAUUCUCAUAUUCAGCCUUCAGUUUCAUGUUCCAUUCCGAUGCUAUCAUGUCUCAAAUUUCAUUCUCAUGUUCUUAUGUUUCAUGGUCACAUUCUCAUAUUUUAUCUUCAUGUUCCCACGUUUCAUCCCCUUUUCAUUCUCAUGUUCCAGUCUCACAUUUCAGUACUUUAUUUCAUCGUGAUGUUUUGUCGUCACAUUCUCAAAUUGCAUCCUUAAGUUUUCAUGUUUCAUUCCAAUGGUAUCAUGUCUCAAAUUUCCAUUCUCAUUUUCCAUCCUCAUGUUCUCGUGUUUCAUUUUUAUGUUUUUAUCCUCAUGCGCUCAUGUUUCAUCUCCGUGUUUUAAUAUUUCAUCCUGUUGUUUCACCCUCACAUUCUCAUAUUUCCCAUUCAUAUAUUUUAUCCUCACGAUGGAAUAUCUAUUCUCAUACAUCUUCACGCUUUUAACAUUGUUUUUCAUCCUGUUCUCAUGUUUCAAUGUCACAUUCUCAUAUUACAGCCUUCAGUUUUCAUGUUCCAUUCCGAUGCUAUUGUGUCUCAAAUUUCAUUCUCAUGCUCUUAUGUUUCAUGGUCACAUUCUCAUUUUUCAUCUUCAUGUUCCCACGUUUCAUCCCCUUUUCAUUAUCCUCUCAUUCUGAUAUUCUCAUGUUCCAGCCUCAUGUUUCAGUACUUGAUUUCAUCCUGAUGUUUCCUCAUCAUGUUCUCAUGUUUUGUCAUCACUUUCUCAAAUUACAUCCAUAAGGUUUCAUGUUCCAUCCUGAUCCUCGGGUUGUCAUAGUAUCAUAUUCAUGUUCCAUCUACAUGUUCUCAUGUGUCAAUCCUCAUGUUAUCAUGUCUCAAAUUUCAUUCUCAUGUUUCAUCCUCGGGUUGUCAUGUGUCAUAUUGGUGUUAUAUCUUCAUGUUCUCAUGUGUCAAUGCUCAUGUUAAUAUGUGCGUUUUCCAGGUGAACGGGAAAAGUCUGAGUGUGAAAGAGUUCCUGGAGGAACCCAGCUCGUUAUCCAUGGUAACGUCUUUGUCUUUGUGACAUCAUAGGUCACGUGACCAGCUGAUGUUGGUCACACAGGUCAAAGGGUGUGUUCCUCCAUGUUGGGGGGUCACUUCUUGAUAACGUUGAGUCAUGGCCGUCUUGUGGCAUGUUGGAUGAUGCCAAACGUGUGUGUUAGGAUGAGUUUCCUGAAGUUGCGCCGUGGACAAGGACGCCGUCGCUUCCCACUGUCUCCUCGUCUCUUCCUGACCUGUUAGGAGACGCCCCUCCUGGCCACGCCCCCGACACGCCCUUCAUGGUACACACCCUGACUGAAGCAGAACAUCUAGACGUUAU
This is an RNA transcript of Dunckerocampus dactyliophorus (ringed pipefish), 3579 nucleotides long. It is a transcript of the gene named GRAM domain-containing protein 2A, with no coding region annotated. The transcript is spliced from 4 exons. The record is from RefSeq and is a predicted model, not a curated record. NCBI's taxonomy places the organism in Eukaryota, Metazoa, Chordata, Actinopteri, Syngnathiformes, Syngnathidae.